UACAGAGGUCCCAAGCGUUGUUCGGAUUCACUGGGCGUAAAGGGUGCGUAGGUGGCAGGGUAAGUUUGAUGUGAAAUCUCCGGGCUUAACCCGGAAACUGCAUUGAAUACUAUCCUGCUCGAGGUUUGGAGGGGGGACUGGAAUUCUCGGUGUAGCAGUGAAAUGCGUAGAUAUCGAGAGGAACACCAGUGGCGAAGGCGAGUCCCUGGACAACACCUGACACUGAGGCACGAAAGCUAGGGGAGCAAACAGG
RNAcentral lists this ribosomal RNA (253 nucleotides) under uncultured bacterium. RNAcentral describes it as "partial 16S ribosomal RNA". It matches the Rfam family "Bacterial small subunit ribosomal RNA", at positions 524 to 776 of the family's 1533-position model. The record is from RNAcentral.